Molecule: ribosomal RNA, 460 nt
Filed under: uncultured bacterium
Lineage: Bacteria
Description: bacterial SSU rRNA
Rfam family: Bacterial small subunit ribosomal RNA
Source: RNAcentral
AUUGAACGCUGGCGGCAUGCCUAACACAUGCAAGUCGAACGCCCUCUUCGGAGGGAGUGGCGCACGGGUGCGUAACGCGUGGGAACCUGCCCUUAGGUUCGGAAUAACUCAGAGAAAUUUGAGCUAAUACCGGAUAAUGUCUUCGGACCAAAGAUUUAUCGCCUUUGGAUGGGCCCGCGUUGGAUUAGCUAGUUGGUGGGGUAAAGGCCUACCAAGGCGACGAUCCAUAGCUGGUCUGAGAGGAUGAUCAGCCACACUGGGACUGAGACACGGCCCAGACUCCUACGGGAGGCAGCAGUGGGGAAUAUUGGACAAUGGGCGAAAGCCUGAUCCAGCAAUGCCGCGUGAGUGAUGAAGGCCUUAGGGUUGUAAAGCUCUUUUACCCGAGAUGAUAAUGACAGUAUCGGGAGAAUAAGCUCCGGCUAACUCCGUGCCAGCAGCCGCGGUAAAGUGACUACUG